GGUGGCGCCACACACGUACUACGCACGCACACGUGCACACGUUCUUUAUUAUAUUCUAUAUAAGACGACUUUACUACCUCUUCGGUCGGAAAUAUGACGGCACACACAAGCACACAUUCAAACAACGCUUGUUGAAAAGAGUAGGGAGGCUACGAAGCACCGCUCACAGAGAAGACCGAGAUAAUAGGGAAGCCAGUAUACUGUAUUCUAUCUCAUUCUCUCGCAGGCUAAAUCCUAUAGUUAUAAGUAUAUGUUUGUCUCUUUUUAAUGUCGGUACGUCAUUCUCGUUUCAUCGGCUGCGUUCCACCGACUGUGUUUCAUCGACUACGUCUCAUCGGUUUCAAAUCACAACGAUCCUAAAGAUAUUUUCACUGAAAAAAAAAACGAUUUAUUCAUGCUAAGUGUAGUUUUAUAUUAAAACCUAAUAAUUUAUGUCUUUUUAAUACAUAGAAGGCUCCGAACAUUGAUGAUGAAGUUGCUGAAGAAGUUUCAAUAAAGGGACGAAACGUUCAACAAGAUCAAAACAUAACGUUUUGAUUUCUUUUUGAAGUUAUACUUCUUUCGGCGCGUUUGGAAAAAAAUUACAAGAGUGAAUUUUUACGAUAUGCGUGCGCACUGACCAAGAAGUUUAUAGGAUGAUGUUAGUCGGUAUUUACGAUGUGCGAGCAAAGUUAUUUGAAUCAUUGAACUCUAUGAAUGUAAUCAUCAAUUUAGGUUGAAAAUGAAUAAACUGGAUAACAUGCUGUGCGAUUUUUUAUGCCUUAACAAUACGAUGACAAUUUUCUGAUUUAAAUCUAAGAAUACCGAUGAAUUACAAUCAUUCUCUUUAUCCUGAUAUUAUAACAGACAAUUGUAAGCAGAAUAGUAAUAUUCUGUUCAAUUAAAAUACUUUACCGAGUAAAA
RNAcentral lists this long non-coding RNA (903 nucleotides) under Polistes fuscatus (common paper wasp). Its description in RNAcentral is "uncharacterized LOC122518923". The record is from RNAcentral. Lineage: Eukaryota; Metazoa; Arthropoda; Insecta; Hymenoptera; Vespidae.